AAACUGGGAUUAGAUACCCCACUAUGCCCCGCCGUAAACUUUUAAUUACACCCCCAUCGCCAGGGAACUACGAGCCAAGCUUAAAACCCAAAGGACUUGACGGUACCCCACAUCCACCUAGAGGAGCCUGUUCUACAAUCGAUAACCCCCGUUUAACCUCACCAUUUUUAGCCAAUCAGUCUGUAUACCUCCGUCGUCAGCUUACCACGUGAGCGACCCAUAAGUGAGCUCAAUGCCCAUUCGCCAACACGUCAGGUCAAGGUGCAACAAAUAAAAUGGAAAGAAAUGGGCUACACUUUCUAAAAUAGAAAACACGAAAGACUACCUAUGAAACCCUAGUCAGAAGGCGGAUUUAGUAGUAAAAAGAGAUCAGAGAGCUCUUUUUAACCCGGCACUGGGGUGUGUACACACCGCCCGUCACCCUCUUCGAAGCCCACAGACAGUUAUUAACUAGACCGCCGCUAUAUAGAAGAGGCAAGUCGUAACAUGGUAAGUAUACCGGAAGGUGUGCUUGGUAAA
Molecule: ribosomal RNA, 519 nt
Filed under: Paratelmatobius poecilogaster (San Andre rapids frog)
Lineage: Eukaryota; Metazoa; Chordata; Amphibia; Anura; Leptodactylidae
Description: partial 12S ribosomal RNA
Rfam family: Bacterial small subunit ribosomal RNA
Source: RNAcentral